GUGAAAUCUCGCGAUACUCAGAGUGGUGAUGUUCCACUGAAAGCUGCUUAGUCGAGCGUUUGACGCUUCUUUGAGCGAUGCGAGCUAUUGAAUCCUAAUUAUCAGCAUGAGCUGUAAGUAAGCGCAUCCAGUUAUCAGUAAAUGUCAGUAAUGGAGGUGAGUUCGGGCUGUCCGUCUCCUAAAGAGGAGGGUGAGCUGGAAGACGGGGAAAUCUUCGACGACGAGCCGCAGAGGCGGCGGCAGAACGCGCGGCCUCCGCGACGCGCCCGCCCCAGUCGACCCAUGAUGAACAAGAGAGCGCGUUUACCGGGACCCAUGCUCAACAACAGCGCCCCGGUGCCGCUGAGAGCUGUUCAUCCGCCCUUCCCCUCCGGCCUCCGGCAGGCGUUCGACUCAGCGCCGCGCUCCGGCUUCUGGGAGCGCAGUCACGGCGCGCUGGGCCGCUUCAGAUAUCGCGCACACAGAGCGUCAGACUGGACGCGAGACUGGACGGAGCGAUUCGCGGAGAAUCACGGCUGCAGAACCGACUCGCCGAGCAGGAAACAGAAAGCAGGCAGCAGGUGUCAGACGCGGAGGGUGGUGACCAGCGUCCCUAAAGCCGAGACCAUGGACGAGAGCUUCGAGGAUCUGCUGCUGAAGUACAAACAGAUCCAGCUGGAGCUCGAAUGCAUCCGGAAGGAGGAGCGGAUGGCCCUGAAAGAGGAGGACGAGCCUCCCGCUGACCCCGUCCCGCCGCCCGAGGAGCCCGUCUCUGCUGUGAAGGAGGAGAAGAAAGUGUUUCAGGCGUUCAACAUCAGGCCGCUCAGACAGAAGCUGCUGACACCCAGCGAUCGAGACGCUCUCAACAGCAGAAGCGCACAGGACGGAGACGGAGGGGAGAAGGACGCCAGUCAGGAUGACGCUGUAAAGGAUGAGGAGUCCGAAUCAGACCUCAACAUCUCUGCAGUGAGUGACGAGACCCCAGUCGUCCACAAGAAGGAGGAUGAGGACGACCUGUCGGAGCUGCAGCUGCGUCUCCUGGCUCUGCAGUCGGCCAGCAGGAGGUGGCAGCAGAAGGAGCAGCAGGUGCUGAAGGAGAGCAAGGAGAAGAUCACCAAAGCUGUUAAAGCGCCUCAGGACAAGAGCGAGGCUCCGUGCGACAGGAACAAGAUGAGCGGAAACAGAGGGAACGCUGUGUGCAGGCUGCAGGAGAGAGCGAGACCUGCCAAACCUGCUCCGGACAAGAGCAGAGCGAGGAAACCGGCCCACCUGACCAAGCAGGCCUGGAGGAAACAGCAGCUGCGCACCUGGAAACUGCAGCAGCAGAGGCAGCAGGAGGAGCAGAGGAGCAAGCAAGAGGAAGAGGAGGAGAGGAGGAAGAGAGAGGACGAGAUUCGGAAGAUCAGAGACCUGUCCAAUCAGGACGAACAGUACAACCGCUUCAUGAAGCUGGUGGGCUCCAGACAUCGCUCCCGCAGCAAGUCUGCAGAUGCUGAUCAGAGGAAACUGGUCAAGCAGAGUCUGGACACAUCGGGGAAUCUCUACCAGUACGAUAACUACGAUGAGGUGGCUAUGGAUACGGACAGCGAAACCAACUCGCCAGCCACGUCUCCGACACACGACGCGCUGCCUGUGUUUCCUCUGGAAUCCACACCUCUCAGACAGUGGAAAUGUCAUCCUGUGCUCAUAUGUCAGGGUGUGGGGCAGCACUACCUGCAGCAGAUGGAGCUUGUGCGGUUGACUCCUCCUCCUCCUCUGCCUCCGCUGCCGCCCCCCGAUGAAGCGGAGCAGCCGCCGAAGCCGCCGUUUGCUGACGAGGAGGAGGAAGAGGAGAUGCUGCUGAGAGAAGAGCUGCUCAAGUCCUUGGCCAGCAAACGAGCUGUAAAGGCAGAGGACGCGUCCAGCAGCAGUGGGCCACCCUCUCCCGCUCUCAGACCCACGGCUCUGCCGAACACCAGGAACAACCUCACGGCCGUCAGUCUCAACACUGUCAUCUCUCACGCUCGGGCACUCAAGUUCAUACGGGCACAGCCUGCCCCCAAAGCCCCGUUUGUGCUGCCGCGACACAAGAGUGUGGUGGUGCGUCUGAACGCGUCUGACGACAGCGACUCUGACGACGAGAGCUGCGGCCCCGCUCAGAGUGUGUUUGGAGGACUGGAGUCCAUGAUUAAAGAAGCUCGGAGGACAGUAGAGGCAGCCAAACCGAAGCAUUCAGUUUCAGAGAAGGAGAACAACCCAGUGAAGAGUGCAGAAGCACUUCCUGAUGCCAAGAAGAUGGAGUAUCGGCUGUUCAGAGACGACAUGGCCAGUCUGGAGAAGCAGAGAUCGGGCCGGCUGGAGUUUGUGGGGGGCGUCCCCUCUCCCGCGGGCUCGGACUCUGACCUGGACAUCCUGGGAAGAGCAGCAGAUCUGCAAGAGAAGCUGAAUCAGCACAAAAUGCAACUGUGUAAAGACGAGGCUCUGCUGAAGCAGCUCCUGCAGCAGGAAAUGAAGAAGAAAGAGUCUCUGAAAGCAGCCGAGGGGAAGGUGACCCGACUCAAGGAGCAGCUGCUGGCGUCAGAGAAGAUUGUGAGUGCCAACAGAGUGUUGCUGAAGAAGCUGCAGGAGCAGGUUCAAAGAGUCCAGCACCGUGUGAGCGUGAAGAAGCAGCAGUCGGUGAAGCUGGAGAGAGAUCUGGUUCAGGCGCAGGCCGCUGCAGCUCCUGCCGUGCUCAAACGCAAUGCAUCUGCCGCCAUCUACUCCCCGGUGAAGGUGCGGCGUGUGGAUCGCUCCGAUGUGCAUUACGCAGAGCUCAUCGCGCAGAAGAAGCGCCUGCAGCAGCUGGAGUCAGAAUACGCCCUCAAGAUUCAGAAGCUCAAAGAGGCCCAGGCGUUACGGCAAGCCGAGCCGCGGCCCGCCGCCCCACAGAUGCCCAGCACACUCUACCCGUUCCCGCAGCCCUCGCUUCAUGACCUGACCCAGGACAAGCUGGCACUGUCCAGCGAGGACGUGGAGGCCGAGGAGGACGAGCAGCAGCAGCAGACUCCCGCCUCAGUGACGCCCCGUAACCGUCGGCGGUCGUUCCGAGAGUCCGGCUCCUUCACCAAACCCAAGCUGUGCCAUCUGGAGACGCCCGCUGCUUCACCCAUGCCCCUCAAACAGGCCAAAGCGUCCUGCAGCACAGCCGGUCUGCCAGAGCUGCUGCUGGGGCUGAACGUGGAGGAUCUGCGGCAGCGGUACCAGCUGUGUGCCGGGCUCCCUGAGCUCCUGCAGGAGGAGAUGCGCUCGCUCAGCUGGGCUCCCGGGAAGGUCGUGCAGGUGGACUUUGAUCCAAUGGCAGCUCAUCAGAGCCGAGCGGAGCCAAAACCAGAACCGUUUGGACCGUAUCACAGUCCUUUACUAGUCUUCAAAUCAUACAGGUUCAGCCCGUAUUACCGGACCAAAGAGAAGCUUUCCCUCCGCUCCGUCACCUUCAGCAACACCAUCGAGCCAAAGAAGCGCUUCUGUCGCUUCGAUCUGACCGGCACGUGUAACGAUGACGAUUGCACAUGGCAGCACAUGAGGGACUGCAGCCUCACAGAGAGCCAGCUGUUUCAGGACGUCCUGUCCUACAGCCUGCCUCUGAUUGGCUGCGCGGACACCAGCAGCACCGGUGACAUCAGCAGUGCCACAGAGAAAUAUAUGAAGAAACUGUUUGGGCCCAAUAAGGACCGGAUGGGGACGGACCAGAAGGCUGUUCUGCUCGUGAGCAAAGUCAACGAGAGAUUGAGACACAUUCCUCCCUUCACCACGAAUAAAUCCCAGAGGAAAUGGAGACCGGAAGCUCAGAAAGUGAAAACGCACGUUCCGGAAGAUGAAGACCUCAACCCUGUGGACGUGACUGUCCCCGUCUGUCACAACGGGCGCGUCCAGGAGCGCUGGUCAUCGGCUGAUGUGUGUGUCACGCAGGACGAUAAGAGAUACUUCGACAGCGAGACGGAUGACAUCAGUAACCUGGAGACCAGUGUGCUGGAGAGUCCCAGCGACGUGCAGCUGUGGAUCAAACUGGCCUUCAAAUACCUCAACCAGAAAGACACCUCUGUGGCAGAGUGUCUGGACGCGGCGCUGAACACGCUGUCCCGUGCACUGGAGGACAACCGCGAGGACACUGAGGUGUGGUGUCACUAUCUGACGCUGUUCUCGCGGCGCGGCAGCAGAGAAGAGGUUCAGGAGAUGUGUGAGAUGGCCGUGGAGCACGCGCCGCACUAUGACGUCUGGUGGACUUGCAUGAGCGUUGAGAGCGGUUUCGAGGGGAAGGAUUAUGUGUGUGGGCGUCUGGUUUCACACCUGCUGGAGGCGUCACAUGACGUCCGGUCGGAUGUGCAGUCGUUUCAGCUGCUGGAGUCAGUGCUGUUCAGAGUUCAGCUCAGUGUGUUCACAGGCCGUCAGCACAACGCUCUCAGCAUACUCAAGAGUGCGCUGCAUUCGGGCUCUGAUUCGAGCGUUGCGGAUCAUCUGACUGUGGCCGACCGUUGUCUGAUGUGGCUGUCUUAUAUCCACCUGACUGAAUUCAGACGUCUGCCGGCGUGUUUGUACGACCCUGCCAGCUCCAACCCCUCCAGAAUCACGUGCACAGAUCCCUUCCUCAUUCCCUGGAGAACGGCCCAAGAGCUCCGUAUACCCGCUGACAUCAUCGUCAGCCUGUUCAGAGAUGCUGUGUGUGGCUGCACGGAUGAGCGUUUGUGUUCCAGUGAGCAGAUUCAGUCCUGUUUCCCUCUGCACUCAAACCUCAUUCAUCUGUACAGGACACUAGACAGAUGUCAAGAAGCUCUUGCGCUGUGUGAGCGUCUGCUGGCGGUGUGUCCGCUCUACUGCCCUCUGCUGGAGGUCACCGGUGAGCUGCACCUGUCCUCAGGGGACACCGAGAAAGCUGAAGAGCUGUGGAGACGUGCUCAUUCUCUCAGUGCCAGCAGCGCUCGCGUUUUCCACCAGCUCUGCAAGUGUUUGCUCGCUCAGGGGAGCGUCAGUGUUAUGGAAGAGCUCUUUGACAAGUUCAUGCACUCUUUCUGUGAAUCUGUGCAAGAUCAGCUGAAGUCGCUGGAUGUGUUACGCCAUAUUCUUGGUGUUCCUACACAAGACUUGCUGAGAGUUCCAGCUCUCAAAGAUGAUCUUCAGGACGAGAUCAGAGCUCAGCUGCCGUACCUGCAUCUCCUGCACUGUUUCUGGCAGUCUACCUACGGCGUUGUGAGAGAGGCCAUUGAUGCGUUUGAGAAAGCUUUGGGAAUGAUUACAAAGCUGGAGUUAAUUCACACCCUCUGGCUAGACUAUCUGUCCUUCGCCAGCAGUAAGAUGUUGGCGCCGCAGCCGAGUGUUCGCGAGCUGAAGAUGUUUACAAGUCUGGUGCACCGCUGUCUGGAGACUGUGCCGAGCAGACUCACCCUGCCCUUCAGCUCCUCACAAUACUGGAGCUGCUUCAGCUUCCAUAACAAGGUCAUAUCCUUCUAUUUGGGUUGUUUCCCUCAAUCCCAACAUUCCCUUAUCCUGGAAAGACUUCAGCAUAUCAUGCCAACCAAUACUGAACUGGCCAUAAGGUUGCUGCAGCAAGAAUGGCAGGAUGGCAAUGUUGAACAUUUUAAAUUGCAAAGCAGAAUGUUGUGCUGUAGCGUCCCAACCUGUCUGGCCAUCUGGAAAAUAGCUAUUGCUGUUGAGAAGGAGCAAAGGCAAAGAGCAGAGGUCCAGCGGCUGUAUCAGCAGGCGCUCCAGAAACUGCCUCUGUCUGCUGCUCUCUGGAAAGAUUGUUUGCUCUUUGAGGCUGCUGAAGGAGGUAAAACUGACACACUGAAAAAAAUAAUUGACAAGUGCCAAGAGGUGGGAGUGAGUCUAAAUGAGCCGCUAGGGUUAGAGCCGAGCCAAGCCGAGUGACACGAGCAGCACAUUCCCAGAACAAGAGUACAUGCUUCCAUUAAACCUCCACAGACACGCAGACACGCAUCUUAGCUUAGACCCGAGUCAGUAUUACGAGCAGAAAUCCAGUGAGGACACAAUGAGCUACCCAUAAUCCAGUAUGUGGGCCUCUUUUAUCAUCAUUUGUUGACGGACUGUGACUGUUUUUAAGGUGGCUUGCUUCCUUCCUCUAAAUUUACAUCAGUUUAUUUGGUUUCUCAUGGUGUCUCAACCAUGUCUCGUGAAGAAUGACAUUAACUCCGCUUGAGAGUUUAAGGGCUCAGCACCAAGGUUUUUUUUUUUCUUUUUUCUUCUUUUUUCUUUCUUUUUCUUUUUUUCUACUCCCCCCUCCAACCAUGGAUUGAAAUGGCUGUUAUUGGAAGUAUUCUGUUUGGCUCACCGGUGUCAGAGUAUUGAUGGAAACUUCUCCACAGACUGCCAAAUCUCGCCGACACUCAAUAUGUCUGUAGUCGUGGACUGCACCAAAAGACAUCAUUAAACUGUUCAUGUAAUAUUGUUUCUUCACAAAUUAAAACAAAAUCCAUGUGUGUAUGUUUUUGUGUGUGUGUGUGUGUGUGUGUGUGUGAGUAUGCACACACACACACACACACACGCAUGUUGAUUAACGUAUUCUGCAGGAUUGAUACUGACACCUGUUUGUUUUUUCUUUCAAUUUAUAAUUGAACAAUGU
Sinocyclocheilus anshuiensis is the source of this 6571-nucleotide RNA transcript. It is a transcript of the gene named zinc finger C3H1-type containing, with no coding region annotated. Lineage: Eukaryota; Metazoa; Chordata; Actinopteri; Cypriniformes; Cyprinidae. The transcript is spliced from 36 exons. The record is from RefSeq and is a predicted model, not a curated record.